This 893-nucleotide ribosomal RNA is filed under the name uncultured archaeon. RNAcentral's name for it is "bacterial SSU rRNA". It matches the Rfam family "Archaeal small subunit ribosomal RNA", at positions 5 to 879 of the family's 1478-position model. The record is from RNAcentral.
CGGUUGAUCCUGCCGGACCCCACUGCUAUCGGGAUAGGACUAAGACAUGCUAGUCGAGCGCCUCCCAAUGGAGGCGCGGCAAACAGGUCAGUAACACGUGGCCAAGCUGCCCUUGGGACGGGGAUACCCCCGGGAAACUGGGGGGAAUCCCCGAUAGGGAAAGAACUUGGGACUAAUUCUUUCCCCAAAAGGCGGUUGAGACAUGCUCUCAACCGCCGCCCAAGGAUGCGGCCGCGUCCGAUCAGGUUGUUGGUGAGCCAACGACUCACCAAGCCUUUAACCGGUGCGGGCCGUGGUAGCGGGAGCCCGGAGAUGGGCACUGAGACAAGGGCCCACGCCCUACCGGGCGCAGCAGUCGCGAAAACUUUGCAACACACGAAAGUGUGACAGGGCUAUCCCGAGUGCCGUCCGCUGAGGAUGGCUUUUACCCAGUUUAGCUAGCUGGAAGAAUAAGGAGAGGGCAAGUCUGGUGUCAGCCGCCGCGGUAAUACCAGCUCUCCGAGUGGUGUGGAUGUUUAUUGGGCUUAAAGCAUCCGUAGCCGGCCGAGUAAGUCCCCCGUUAAAUCCAGCGAAUUAAUCGUUGAACAGCGGGGGAUACUACUCGGCUAGGGGGCGAGAGAGGCCGACGGUAUUUUCGGGGUAGGGGUGAAAUCUUAUAAUCCCGGGAGGACCCCCAGUGGCGAAGGCUGUCGGCUAGCACGCGCCCGACGGUGAGGGAUGAAAGCUGGGGGAGCGAACCGGAUUAGAUACCCGGGUAGUCCCAGCUGUAAACGAUGCAGGCUAGGUGUUGGGGUGGCCACGGGCCACUCCAGUGCCGCAGGAAAGCCGUUAAGCCUGCCGCCUGGGGAGUACGGCCGCAAGGCUGAAACUUAAAGGAAUUGGCGGGGGAGCAC